This 371-nucleotide ribosomal RNA is filed under the name uncultured organism. RNAcentral describes it as "partial 16S ribosomal RNA". It matches the Rfam family "Bacterial small subunit ribosomal RNA", at positions 527 to 896 of the family's 1533-position model. The record is from RNAcentral.
GUAGGUGGCAAGCGUUGUCCGGAAUUAUUGGGCGUAAAGCGCGCGCAGGCGGUUCUUUAAGUCUGAUGUGAAAGCCCACGGCUCAACCGUGGAGGGUCAUUGGAAACUGGAGAGCUUGAGUACAGAAGAGGAAAGCGGAAUUCCACGUGUAGCGGUGAAAUGCGUAGAGAUGUGGAGGAACACCAGUGGCGAAGGCGGCUUUCUGGUCUGUAACUGACGCUGAGGCGCGAAAGCGUGGGGGAGCAAACAGGAUUAGAUACCCUGGUAGUCCACGCCGUAAACGAUGAGUGCUAAGUGUUAGGGGGUUUCCGCCCCUUAGUGCUGCAGCUAACGCAUUAAGCACUCCGCCUGGGAGUACGGCCGCAAGGCUG